UACGAAGGGGGCGAGCGUUGCCCGGAUUUACUGGGCGUAAAGCGCGCGUAGGCGGUCUCAUAAGUCUGGUGUGAAAUCUCACGGCUCAACCGGGAGGCUGCACUGGAUACUGUGAGACUGGAGGGUAGGAGAGGAGAUCGGAAUUCCUGGUGUAGCGGUGGAAUGCGUUGAUAUCAGGAGGAACACCAAUGGCGAAGGCAGAUCUCUGGCCUAUCUCUGACGCUGAGGUGCGAAAGCCAGGGGAGCGAAAGGG
This 253-nucleotide ribosomal RNA is filed under the name uncultured bacterium. RNAcentral's name for it is "partial 16S ribosomal RNA". It matches the Rfam family "Bacterial small subunit ribosomal RNA", at positions 524 to 776 of the family's 1533-position model. The record is from RNAcentral.